RNAcentral lists this ribosomal RNA (510 nucleotides) under Nocardiopsis sp. RNAcentral's name for it is "bacterial SSU rRNA". It matches the Rfam family "Bacterial small subunit ribosomal RNA", at positions 129 to 639 of the family's 1533-position model. The record is from RNAcentral. Lineage: Bacteria; Bacillati; Actinomycetota; Actinomycetes; Streptosporangiales; Nocardiopsidaceae.
CCCCUGACUCUGGGAUAAGCGGUGGAAACGCCGUCUAAUACCGGAUACGACCUUCCGCCUCAUGGUGGAGGGUGGAAAGUUUUUUCGGUCAGGGAUGGGCUCGCGGCCUAUCAGCUUGUUGGUGGGGUAACGGCCUACCAAGGCGAUUACGGGUAGCCGGCCUGAGAGGGCGACCGGCCACACUGGGACUGAGACACGGCCCAGACUCCUGCGGGAGGCAGCAGUGGGGAAUAUUGCGCAAUGGGCGAAAGCCUGACGCAGCGACGCCGCGUGGGGGAUGACGGCCUUCGGGUUGUAAACCUCUUUUACCACCAACGCAGGCUCCGGGUUCUCUCGGGGUUGACGGUAGGUGGGGAAUAAGGACCGGCUAACUACGUGCCAGCAGCCGCGGUAAUACGUAGGGUCCGAGCGUUGUCCGGAAUUAUUGGGCGUAAAGAGCUCGUAGGCGGCGUGUCGCGUCUGCUGUGAAAGACCGGGGCUUAACUCCGGUUCUGCAGUGGAUACGGGCAU